Argiope bruennichi is the source of this 73-nucleotide non-coding RNA. Lineage: Eukaryota; Metazoa; Arthropoda; Arachnida; Araneae; Araneidae. The record is from the annotation of a RefSeq genome assembly.
GCCACCAUAGCUUAGUGGUUAGAGCUCUGGUCUUCUCAAUCAGGGGCCGUGAGUUCAACACUCACUGGUGGUU